CUCAUCCCAUCCCAAAACCGCCCACCGUUAAACCACCACCCUCCACACCCAAACCGCCCACAAAACCACCCACCGUUAAACCACCUCCAUCCACCCCUAAGCCGCCCACCAAACCACCCACCGUCAAACCACCACCCUCCACCCCAAAACCGCCCACCAAGCCACCCACCGUCAAACCACCUCCGUCCACCCCUAAACCACCUACCCACAAGCCACCAACAGUGUGCCCACCGCCAACACCAACACCAACCCCACCUGUUGUAACGCCACCAACACCACCAACACCAACUCCACCAGUCGUUACGCCACCAACACCAGCCCCACCUGUUGUAACGCCACCAACACCAACACCACCGGUCGUAACGCCACCGACACCAACCCCUCCUGUCGUAACACCUCCAACACCACCGGUCGUAACGCCACCGACACCAACUCCUCCUGUCGUAACACCACCAACACCACCGGUCGUAACGCCACCGACACCAACCCCUCCUGUCGUAACACCUCCAACACCACCGGUCGUAACGCCACCGACACCAACCCCUCCUGUCGUAACACCACCAACACCAACUCCACCUAAGCCAGAAACGUGCCCAAUCGACACGUUGAAGCUAGGCGCUUGUGUAGACGUUCUUGGAGGUUUAAUUCACAUCGGGCUUGGUGGAAGUAGCGCCAAGAAAGAGUGUUGUCCGGUUUUGGGAGGCUUAGUUGA
This 712-nucleotide long non-coding RNA is filed under the name Brassica rapa (field mustard). Its description in RNAcentral is "long non-coding RNA (BRAP_LNC003747)". Lineage: Eukaryota; Viridiplantae; Streptophyta; Magnoliopsida; Brassicales; Brassicaceae. The record is from RNAcentral.